UUUUUUUUUUUGUGCUAAACAAUGACUGAUACUUAGUACCUGGAUGGAUAACCAUCAAGUAAUCCACACACUAGAAGUAAGAAAUAAAAUAAAAUCAACCUGGAAGAAGGCAACUGGAAAACACCACAGCAUAAAAAUCAUGGUCGUGAUCAUCUAGUUAUUAGGACUUGAGCCUGACUUGAGUCUUAUGUUUUUAGCAAAUGAUACUACAGUGAGAAAUCUCUUUCUCUAGUCUACACAUUAUGAUUGGUUUCAUGUUUUGUACUAAGUCACAAUUGGCUAAGUACAAUUUGCAUAACAUACUAAGCAAAAAUCAAAGUGACCACAUAAUGAAUUAGUGUGAUGUAUGAAACUAGUGAGAUGAAAACCAUCCCAGCUGCUCAGCAAAAGGCUCUCGUAUUGGGCAACAAGAAUACAGGAAAAUGCUUGAAGCAAUACUUGAGUGAGAACAGCAAAGGCAUUGUUUCAUAUUGCACAGGAGAAAGCAAUGGAAAACUACCCCUGUAUUCUAUAAAAAACCUACUUGAAUAGGUGAUAUAAACAUUGUUGCAAAUCUAAAAUGUGCUGCUUCUGAGAUUUAAUCAAACAAUCCAUUUAUGAACACUACAGUAUGUUUGAAUACUUAAAAAUAAACAUUGGAAGUAUG
Pantherophis guttatus is the source of this 646-nucleotide non-coding RNA. The record is from RefSeq and is a predicted model, not a curated record. NCBI's taxonomy places the organism in Eukaryota, Metazoa, Chordata, Lepidosauria, Squamata, Colubridae.